RNAcentral lists this ribosomal RNA (497 nucleotides) under uncultured bacterium. RNAcentral describes it as "partial 16S ribosomal RNA". It matches the Rfam family "Bacterial small subunit ribosomal RNA", at positions 28 to 523 of the family's 1533-position model. The record is from RNAcentral.
GAUGAACGCUGGCGGCGUGCCUAACACAUGCAAGUCGACCGAGAAAAUGUAAGGCGAAACUUCGGUCUGGCGAUAACAUGGAAGUCGGCGGACGGGUGAGUAACGCGUAGGCAACCUGCCCCUUACAGAGGGAUAGCAUCGGGACACCGGAACUAACACCUCAUAACGCAUUUUACACACCUGCUUGCGAUGCCAGCGAUUUAUCGGUAAGGGAUGGGCCUGGGUCUGAUUAGCUAGUUGGUAAGGUAACGGCUUACCAAGGCAACGAUCAGUAGCCGACCUGAGAGGGUAAUCGGCCACAUUGGAACUGAGACACGGUCCAAACUCCUACGGGAGGCAGCAGUGGGGAAUAUUGCACAAUGGGCGAAAGCCUGAUGCAGCAACGCCGCGUGAGCGAAGAAGGCCUUUGGGUCGUAAAGCUCUGUCGGAAGGGAAGAAACAAAUGACGGUACCUGCUGAGGAAGCCCCGGCUAACUACGUGCCAGCCGCCGCCGUAA